RNAcentral lists this unclassified non-coding RNA (348 nucleotides) under Hevea brasiliensis (rubber tree). Lineage: Eukaryota; Viridiplantae; Streptophyta; Magnoliopsida; Malpighiales; Euphorbiaceae. The record is from RNAcentral.
AAAAAAAUUAGGAGUGUCCGAUACAGCGUCUUAGGGAAAAGAAACGGGGAGGACGAGGCGAGACCUCAGGCUUAGGCUCAAGUGAUUCUAGAGGGAAAUGUUUAUAGAAUGCUUUCACAGCUCCAGUCACUCCAUCCUCAUGUUCCAUGGCUUUUGCUAGUUCUACAGCACGUUCUUUUACCUCUGGAUCUAGCAUGAACCGGAUGGCAGCGACCAACUUUUCAAGGGAGAACUCGUCCACAGGGAUGGGAGCAGGACCUACUCCCCUAGCAUGCACACGUUCACCCCAAAAUUGUUGAUCCCCAAAGAAAGGUACCACAGUUGUUGGGCAUGCAGCUUUUAGUCCAG